UGUUUAGGGUACGUAGGUAGUCUAAUGAGACAUUAGAUGCAGCCAUAUAAGAAAUGAGAUUAAAUAAUCGAGACAAUAGCCUUGUUUAAGGAAUUGAGCAAUGUGAGGGAUAUUGGUGAAAAAUGUGCGUUUUAACUUUAUGUUUUGGUGAUUAGUAGUUAGUACACCGUAUUAUAUAAUUGGAAAUAUUAUGAAAUGUUUUAAUUUUAGAUUUUAUCAUGGCAUAUCCAUACGUAUAUUUCUUGCACAUAAUUAUUGUGAAUGCUUUGAAGUGCAAAGGUGCAAGACACACAGGUAAGUUCAGGUAAGUUCAAGUAAGUAUACAGUAUUAUUAGUUGAAUUGAUGGGGUUAUGAUAUGACUACAUUUACAUUUUAGCAACUCCGACACAGUCGUACAGGUUGCAAUAGUAGGCAACUCCGGCAUUGUCGUACAGGUUGCCUAUGAAUCGUACAUGUUGUAUUAGAUGCAUUUAAAGCUCAUAAACCUGCACCCUGGGUGAUUGUGAUUUAGCCAGAGAUAUGGUACAUGCAUGUUUAUAAUGUCGCAUCAUGCACCCUAUGCUCACAUUGGAUCCAAUUUAGGUGCACAGUCUUGUCGUACAAACCACCAUAGGUGGUUCCAAUUUUGGCCUGAGACCACAACGAAGUUGUUUAGUCUUUCCGCAUAAUUCAUUGUUUGUUUGACUCUCUGAUAUUCUAGUAUGCCCCUGUUACGUUUAUACCCCCAGUUUCACCUCCUAGUAUUAAAGGUAAUUGGGUUGAUUUAGAGGCACCAACCUAUUUCCCAUAUCAUUUUGGAUAGGGACAAACUGUCCAAGAGGACCACUUAGUCUAUAUAUCUUGUACUCUAGAUUUCAUGAACUUGUUUUGACCCUCAAUUUCUUGAGUGUUCUUUUAACCGUCUCGACAUGAUUUUUUUUGCUCAAUUAAUGAACAAUUCAUGGGGUUUUGCUCAAUUAGUGAAGAAUUCAUGGGGUAGAUUGUGACAACCCAUCCCAAAUUUUUAUGUUUUUACAAAUAUUAAAAGUGUAAUUUUAUGAAAAUGCCUUUAGAGGUGAGGGUUUUGACUUCUGUUGACAACGUAUAGCGAGGUGUAUGAAUUAAUCCAUUAGCGUUUUCUUGAAGUACUUUUGGUUUGGUCACUAUUUAUAUAUUUUUACAUAUUUUUUCAAAUGUAUUUAUUUUAUUUAUCAUUUAGUGAUUUUGAAAAGAGUUGGAAAAAGAAAGAAAGAAGAAAUAGAGAAAAGAAACUGGGCAGAACUUCCCAAUCGGGAAAAAGAGAGAGGAAGAGAACAGGAGGGACCGGGAGAGAGUGCAGCGAAUCAGGAGAAGAGAGAAGGAGAUGAUGGCUAAUUAGAAAGAAUGAAAGGAGAGGAAAGGAGAGAGGAAGGAGAAGAAGAAACAGGUUGACCCCUGCACACCCGCGGACCCAUUGAGAUUCCGUCAUUUUUCUGACAUUUUUCCGGCAAAUCAAAGCAAACCACCACCUAGAAACAACUUCAUAGCCUUCCCUCUUCCAUUUCCAUUCAAAAUUAGAAGGAAAUUGGUGGUAAUUUAUUCAAAAACCGAAGGUGGGUGCCGUGAGACCCUUGCUCGAAAUCCACCACUUGUGAAACAUUUUCCUACAAUUACCACUACCAUUAGACUUCCCUAGAAUCCAGGAACAAAGCCCAGGCAGUGGUGGAGGCGUCGAAGCAAGUUUGGAGGUUGAAUUAAAUCACACCCAAUUCUAAGGUUUCGUACAGUUUUAGCAAAAUUGGAUCCUUUCUAGGCUAAAUUGGACUUGGCCACAGGUAUAAAGUUUACUCUACUCUUUGAGAUCUUCAAUUAUGUAAUUUUUGAGAAUUUUUA
Molecule: long non-coding RNA, 1852 nt
Filed under: Malus domestica (apple)
Lineage: Eukaryota; Viridiplantae; Streptophyta; Magnoliopsida; Rosales; Rosaceae
Description: long non-coding RNA (MDOM_LNC015213)
Source: RNAcentral